This 650-nucleotide ribosomal RNA is filed under the name uncultured bacterium. RNAcentral describes it as "bacterial SSU rRNA". It matches the Rfam family "Bacterial small subunit ribosomal RNA", at positions 76 to 718 of the family's 1533-position model. The record is from RNAcentral.
GAGCUUGCUCUUAUGGGUGGCGAGUGGCGGACGGGUGAGGAAUACAUCGGAAUCUACCUUUUCGUGGGGGAUAACGUAGGGAAACUUACGCUAAUACCGCAUACGACCUUCGGGUGAAAGCAGGGGACCUUCGGGCCUUGCGCGGAUAGAUGAGCCGAUGUCGGAUUAGCUAGUUGGCGGGGUAAAGGCCCACCAAGGCGACGAUCCGUAGCUGGUCUGAGAGGAUGAUCAGCCACACUGGAACUGAGACACGGUCCAGACUCCUACGGGAGGCAGCAGUGGGGAAUAUUGGACAAUGGGCGCAAGCCUGAUCCAGCCAUACCGCGUGGGUGAAGAAGGCCUUCGGGUUGUAAAGCCCUUUUGUUGGGAAAGAAAAGCAGUCGGCUAAUACCCGGUUGUUCUGACGGUACCCAAAGAAUAAGCACCGGCUAACUUCGUGCCAGCAGCCGCGGUAAUACGAAGGGUGCAAGCGUUACUCGGAAUUACUGGGCGUAAAGCGUGCGUAGGUGGUUGUUUAAGUCUGUUGUGAAAGCCCUGGGCUCAACCUGGGAAUUGCAGUGGAUACUGGGCGACUAGAGUGUGGUAGAGGGUAGUGGAAUUCCCGGUGUAGCAGUGAAAUGCGUAGAGAUCGGGAGGAACAUCCAUGGCGA